CACAUCAUUUACAUGCCAUGUUACGCUUCGGCGUAAUCUACUAUUCGCAGCAUUUCUCUGUUGCUGCGAGUAUUUUCAACAUGGCAAAGAUUAAACUAUGGACACGUUGCUGGGCGCCCGAAUUCAAGACAUCGUUUUGAAUGUCUAGGAGAUUUCGGGAAUCAGUAGAGGUUACAUUU
Molecule: small nucleolar RNA, 179 nt
Filed under: Pestalotiopsis fici W106-1
Lineage: Eukaryota; Fungi; Ascomycota; Sordariomycetes; Amphisphaeriales; Sporocadaceae
Description: Small nucleolar RNA snR32
Rfam family: Small nucleolar RNA snR32
Source: Rfam by way of RNAcentral